This 2680-nucleotide ribosomal RNA is filed under the name Clostridioides difficile. RNAcentral describes it as "partial 23S ribosomal RNA". It matches the Rfam family "Bacterial large subunit ribosomal RNA". The record is from RNAcentral. Lineage: Bacteria; Bacillati; Bacillota; Clostridia; Peptostreptococcales; Peptostreptococcaceae.
GGUCAAGUUAUUAAGGGUGCAGGGCGGAUGCCUUGGCACUAGGAGCCGAUGAAGGACGUGAUAAGCUGCGAUAAGCUUCGGGGAGUUGCACGUAAACUUUGAUCCGAAGAUUUCCGAAUGAGGAAACUCACUUAGAGUAAUGUCUAAGUAUCAUUAAGUGAAUACAUAGCUUAAUGAGGGGAACUCAGGGAACUGAAACAUCUAAGUACCUGAAGGAAGAGAAAGAAAUUCGAUUCCGUAAGUAGCGGCGAGCGAACGCGGAUUAGCCCAAACCAAUAAAGUUUUCUUUAUUGGGGUUGCGGACAUAUCAUAACGAAGAGGUAUCGUAAUUGAAGAGGUUUGGAAAGACCCACCACAGAAGGUAAUAGUCCUGUAUGUUAAACGAGAAGACUUUAGAUAUGAUCCAGAGUACCACGGGACACGUGAAACCCUGUGGGAAGCAGGAGGGACCACCCUCCAAGGCUAAAUACUACCUAGUGACCGAUAGCGUAUAGUACCGUGAGGGAAAGGUGAAAAGAACCCCGGGAGGGGAGUGAAAUAGAACCUGAAACCCUGCACUUACAAGCUGUGGAAGCACAUUUCUUGUGUGACCGCGUACUUUUUGUAGAACGGGCCAACGAGUUACGUUAAGUAGCAAGGUUAAGCACUUAAGGUGCGGAGCCGUAGCGAAAGCGAGUUUUAACUGAGCGUUCAGUUACUUGACGUAGACCCGAAACCGGGCGACCUACCCAUGAGCAGGAUGAAGCGAAAGUAAAAUUUCGUGGAGGUCCGAACCCACGAGCGUUGAAAAGCUCGGGGAUGACUUGUGGGUAGCGGUGAAAUUCCAAUCGAGCCCGGAGAUAGCUGGUUCUCCCCGAAAUAGCUUUAGGGCUAGCCUCAAGGUGAGAGAUACGGAGGUAGAGCACUGAAUGUCCUAGGGGGUAUUGCACCUACCGAAGACUAUCAAACUCCGAAUGCCGUCAUCUUAUACUUGGGAGUCAGACUGUGGGUGAUAAGAUUCAUAGUCGAAAGGGCAACAGCCCAGAUCGUCAGCUAAGGUCCCUAAAUGUAAGUUAAGUGGUAAAGGAUGUGGGAUUGCACAGACAACCAGGAUGUUGGCUUAGAAGCAGCCACUCAUUCAAAGAGUGCGUAAUAGCUCACUGGUCGAGUGAUCCUGCGCCGAAGAUUUCCGGGGCUAAAACUUACUACCGAAGCUACGGCAUCAGUAAUGAUGGGUAGGGGAGCUUCCCAUACAGGUUGAAGCAUGACCGUAAGGACAUGUGGACAGUAUGGGAGUGAGAAUGUUGGCAUGAGUAGCGAGAUGUGGGUGAGAAUCCCACAGGCCGUAAACCCAAGGUUUCCAGGGGAAGGUUCGUCCGCCCUGGGUUAGUCGGGACCUAAGCUGAGGCCGAAAGGCGUAGGUGAUGGACAACAGGUUGAUAUUCCUGUACUACCGAUAACCGUUUGAGAGAAGGGAUGACACAGUAGGAUAAGCUAAGCACACUGUUGGUUAUGUGUGCCCAAGCAUUGAGGCAGUCAAAGUAGGCAAAUCCGCUUUGAUAAUGCUGGGAUGUGAUGGGGAGCGAAAUUUAGUAGCGAAGUAGCUGAUUUCACACUGUCAAGAAAAGUCUCUAUCGAGGUUAAAGGUACCCGUACCGCAAACCGACACAGGUGGGUGAGGAGAGUAUCCUAAGGCCAGCGAGAGAACUGUUGUUAAGGAACUCGGCAAAAUGACCCCGUAACUUAGGGAUAAGGGGUGCCACCAUCAGGUGGCCGCAGAGAAUAGGCCCAAGCGACUGUUUACCAAAAACAUAGGUUUCUGCUAAGUCGCAAGACGAUGUAUAGGAGCUGACGCCUGCCCGGUGCUGGAAGGUUAAGGGGAUCUGUUAGAGCAAUCGAAGCAGUGAACUUAAGCCCCAGUAAACGGCGGCCGUAACUAUAACGGUCCUAAGGUAGCGAAAUUCCUUGUCGGGUAAGUUCCGACCCGCACGAAAGGCGUAACGAUUUGGGCACUGUCUCAACAACAGACUCGGUGAAAUUGUAAUUCCGGUGAAGAUGCCGGAUACCUGCGACAGGACGGAAAGACCCCAUGGAGCUUUACUGUAGCUUGACAUUGGGUCUUGGUACUACAUGUACAGGAUAGGUGGGAGGCUUUGAAACCAGGACGCCAGUUUUGGCGGAGCCAUCCUUGGGAUACCACCCUUGUAGUACUGGGACUCUAACCAUAGGCCAUGAAUCUGGUCUUGGGACACUGUCAGGUGGGCAGUUUGACUGGGGCGGUCGCCUCCCAAAAGGUAACGGAGGCGCUCAAAGGUUCUCUCAGUACGGUCGGAAAUCGUACGUAGAGUGUAAAGGCAAAAGAGAGCUUGAUUGCAAGACAUACAGGUCGAGCAAGGAUGAAAAUCGGACUUAGUGAUCCGGUGGUUCUGCGUGGAAGGGCCAUCGCUCAACGGAUAAAAGCUACCCUGGGGAUAACAGGCUUAUCUCCCCCAAGAGUCCACAUCGACGGGGAGGUUUGGCACCUCGAUGUCGGCUCAUCACAUCCUGGGGCUGUAGUAGGUCCCAAGGGUUGGGCUGUUCGCCCAUUAAAGUGGUACGCGAGCUGGGUUCAGAACGUCGUGAGACAGUUCGGUCCCUAUCCGUCGCAGGCGUAGGAAAUUUGAGAAGACCUGUCCUUAGUACGAGAGGACCGGGAUGGACG